GGUGACUGCGUACCUUUUGUAUAAUGGGUCAGCGACUUAUAUUCUGUAGCAAGGUUAACCGUAUAGGGGAGCCGCAGGGAAACCGAGUCUUAACUGGGCGUUAAGUUGCAGGGUAUAGACCCGAAACCCGGUGAUCUAGCCAUGGGCAGGUUGAAGGUUGGGUAACACUAACUGGAGGACCGAACCGACUAAUGUUGAAAAAUUAGCGGAUGACUUGUGGCUGGGGGUGAAAGGCCAAUCAAACCGGGAGAUAGCUGGUUCUCCCCGAAAGCUAUUUAGGUAGCGCCUCGUGAACUCAUCUUCGGGGGUAGAGCACUGUUUCGGCUAGGGGGUCAUCCCGACUUACCAACCCGAUGCAAACUACGAAUACCGAAGAAUGUUAUCACGGGAGACACACGGCGGGUGCUAACGUCCGUCGUGAAGAGGGAAACAACCCAGACCGCCAGCUAAGGUCCCAAAGUCAUGGUUAAGUGGGAAACGAUGUGGGAAGGCCCAGACAGCCAGGAUGUUGGCUUAGAAGCAGCCAUCAUUUAAAGAAAGCGUAAUAGCUCACUGGUCGAGUCGGCCUGCGCGGAAGAUGUAACGGGGCUAAACCAUGCACCGAAGCUGCGGCAGCGACACUAUGUGUUGUUGGGUAGGGGAGCGUUCUGUAAGCCGUUGAAGGUGGCCUGUGAGGGUUGCUGGAGGUAUCAGAAGUGCGAAUGCUGACAUAAGUAACGAUAAUGCGGGUGAAAAACCCGCACGCCGGAAGACCAAGGGUUCCUGUCCAACGUUAAUCGGGGCAGGGUGAGUCGACCCCUAAGGCGAGGCCGAAAGGCGUAGUCGAUGGGAAACAGGUUAAUAUUCCUGUACUCGGUGUUACUGCGAAGGGGGGACGGAGAAGGCUAUGUUGGCCGGGCGACGGUUGUCCCGGUUUAAGCAUGUAGGCGGAUGUUCCAGGUAAAUCCGGAACGUCACUAACGCUGAGGUGUGAUGACGAGGCACUACGGUGCUGAAGUGACAAAUGCCCUGCUUCCAGGAAAAGCCUCUAAGCAUCAGGUAACAUCAAAUCGUACCCCAAACCGACACAGGUGGUCAGGUAGAGAAUACCAAGGCGCUUGAGAGAACUCGGGUGAAGGAACUAGGCAAAAUGGUGCCGUAACUUCGGGAGAAGGCACGCUGAUGGUAGGUGAAGCGACUUGCUCGUGGAGCUGAAAUCAGUCGAAGAUACCAGCUGGCUGCAACUGUUUAUUAAAAACACAGCACUGUGCAAACACGAAAGUGGACGUAUACGGUGUGACGCCUGCCCGGUGCCGGAAGGUUAAUUGAUGGGGUUAUCCGUAAGGAGAAGCUCUUGAUCGAAGCCCCGGUAAACGGCGGCCGUAACUAUAACGGUCCUAAGGUAGCGAAAUUCCUUGUCGGGUAAGUUCCGACCUGCACGAAUGGCGUAAUGAUGGCCAGGCUGUCUCCACCCGAGACUCAGUGAAAUUGAACUCGCUGUGAAGAUGCAGUGUACCCGCGGCAAGACGGAAAGACCCCGUGAACCUUUACUAUAGCUUGACACUGAACACUGGUCCUUGAUGUGUAGGAUAGGUGGGAGGCUUUGAAGUGUGGACGCCAGUCUGCAUGGAGCCAUCCUUGAAAUACCACCCUUUAAUGGCUGGUGUUCUAACGUGGGCCCGUAAUCCGGGUUGCGGACAGUGUCUGGUGGGUAGUUUGACUGGGGCGGUCUCCUCCUAAAGAGUAACGGAGGAGCACGAAGGUCAGCUAAUCCUGGUCGGACAUCAGGAGGUUAGUGCAAUGGCAUAAGCUGGCUUGACUGCGAGCGUGACGGCGCGAGCAGGUGCGAAAGCAGGUCAUAGUGAUCCGGUGGUUCUGAAUGGAAGGGCCAUCGCUCAACGGAUAAAAGGUACUCCGGGGAUAACAGGCUGAUACCGCCCAAGAGUUCAUAUCGACGGCGGUGUUUGGCACCUCGAUGUCGGCUCAUCACAUCCUGGGGCUGAAGUAGGUCCCAAGGGUAUGGCUGUUCGCCAUUUAAAGUGGUACGCGAGCUGGGUUUAGAACGUCGUGAGACAGUUCGGUCCCUAUCUGCCGUGGGCGCUGGAGAAUUGAGGGGGGCUGCUCCUAGUACGAGAGGACCGGAGUGGACGCAUCACUGGUGUUCGGGUUGUCAUGCCAAUGGCAUUGCCCGGUAGCUAAAUGCGGAAGAGAUAAGUGCUGAAAGCAUCUAAGCACGAAACUUGCCCCGAGAUGAGUUCUCCCUGACUCCUUGA
This 2252-nucleotide ribosomal RNA is filed under the name Klebsiella michiganensis H1g. RNAcentral describes it as "bacterial LSU rRNA". It matches the Rfam family "Bacterial large subunit ribosomal RNA", at positions 592 to 2826 of the family's 2925-position model. Lineage: Bacteria; Pseudomonadati; Pseudomonadota; Gammaproteobacteria; Enterobacterales; Enterobacteriaceae. The record is from RNAcentral.